AGUGAACGCUGGCGGUAGGCCUAACACAUGCCAGUCGAACGGCAGCACAGUAAGAGCUUGCUCUUACGGGUGGCGAGUGGCGGACGGGUGAGGAAUACAUCGGAAUCUACUUUUUCGUGGGGGAUAACGUAGGGAAACUUACGCUAAUACCGCAUACGACCUACGGGUGAAAGCAGGGGAUCUUCGGACCUUGCGCGAUUGAAUGAGCCGAUGUCGGAUUAGCUAGUUGGCGGGGUAAAGGCCCACCAAGGCGACGAUCCGUAGCUGGUCUGAGAGGAUGAUCAGCCACACUGGAACUGAGACACGGUCCAGACUCCUACGGGAGGCAGCAGUGGGGAUAUUGGACAAUGGGCGCAAGCCUGAUCCAGCCAUACCGCGUGGGUGAAGAGGGCCUUCGGGUUGUAAAGCCCUUUUGUUGGGAAAGAAAAGCAGCAGGUUAAUACCCCGCUGUUCUGACGGUACCCAAAGAAUAAGCACCGGCUAACUUCGUG
Molecule: ribosomal RNA, 491 nt
Filed under: uncultured bacterium
Lineage: Bacteria
Description: partial 16S ribosomal RNA
Rfam family: Bacterial small subunit ribosomal RNA
Source: RNAcentral